GUGUUGGAACUCCCGCAAACAGUGCCGGUGGUGCAAAGAAGAAAUGGGAAACAUUACCAGACUGCCAGACACGCCCCAUUGAUAACAAAGGUCUGCCUGCUGCCGCUGUACACAAAACACUCAACCCAGAACCAAUCGAUGCCACAAAAUUGCCGCUAGCAGAAAAAAUUCGACGACUUUCAAUGUUUUUACGAAGUGAAAAAAAAGUAAUCAAUGAAAUUAUGUUGUUUGAGAAUUCUCUGAUGAGUUGUAAAGUUGGAAUUAGACCAGAUUUUUUGAUGUGGUGUGUUCCUAGCCAGAGCUAUCGGCAUCAACAAGAAAGAAAUCAAACUGUCAUGUUUCAAGAAGGCGGUGGAACUUUAUCGUACCCUUCCUGUCACUGAAAUUUUGAACCAGGAUGAUAUGACCCCAAAAGUUAUCAAGGAGAAACUGGAGAAUUUUAACUCGACCGUUGCUAAGAUGGAGAAAGAAACAAUUGCAGAGUUACCCCCACCAUCUAUUUUGAAACAGAUCCAAGAUAUUCUAACCAAUCCUAAAUAUGCUUCAACCAAUUCAGUCAGCAAAAUGGAGUUGGCGGCCUCUGUGGCUAAAUGUCGAGUCCGUUGUCGAUAUGAUGUAGAGAGUUGUAAAGCUGUAUCAGGGAAAGUUUAUCAUAAGGGAAUGUACUUUAUUGACAACAUACUACAAGGUGCAGGUGUUUCAGUUUCCAAAAAAACUGCUAAGUCAUUGUGUUAUAAUAUGGUGGUUGAACGACUGACCACCAUGAAUGUUGAACAUGGCAACAUCUUAGAUGGUGUCGAACAGUCUGUCAUAACAGAAGCAGAAGCACAGGUUCAGAGCACUUUGGUAAAGGCAGCACCAAAUCCUAGGGCAUUUGAUCUCCGUGAACAGUUUGUCAAAAUGAACGAACUUAGCAGUGCCACGCAUCCUGCAUCCAUCAUUACUGUCUUGGAUGGAAUUUUCAACGAUGUAAAAUUGACGCCCAUUUGUCUGUACCGUCGUAGCAUGAACACAGAAAUAGAAAAGGAGAAAAUUUUCUGUAACCUCUAUCUAGCUGGUCAUCUCAUCAUGAUUGGUGAAGCAGAGAACCGAACAGAUGCCCAAGCAGACGCUUACUCUAAAGCCCGAUAAGUUUCACGAACUGUGACCCCGAGUUCAUCCUCCCCCAACACAGUAAACUUCAACCACACGACCAAGCAGCAACAGAUGUUAUCGACUUUCGUGUCAAGGGCAACUGCAUUUUGGAAGAUAACUGUUCGAAUCUUCAUCGCUUACAAUGGACCCGAAAACCUAUAUCAACACUACCAGCCAAGGAUAUCGUUGUCUUUGAGGACGUCAGUUGGAUAGUAGAUCGUAAAGUUCAAGGUUUCUAUAUUUUACAACAUUCAUGUUUUGUCAACAAUAUGUUGUUGGAAUGGGAGUUUUUUUGACAAUGAUGAUCGUGUAUUCAGAUGUCAGAUGAAGAUACAAAAGGAAGAUGUUGGAACCGAACCUGCAGUGUCUCUUAGUAAGACAGGCUCUAGAAAUUUUGCAGCAGCUGAUAUCUUGUUUAAGCUCGAAGAAACACAACCAGUCAUAGAGGUUUCUGCUUACACUAAACCUGAUCAAGCGAUAGAAUCUGUCAGUUUUGAUACGUUGCUUAAAGAAGCGGAGGUGUUGAAGAAAGCUGCCGAGCAUGCAGGAGAAAACGUUACAGCUACUACAGCUGAGGGAACUGAUUCAGAAACUGAGACCAGUGACACAGAUGUUGAAAUGAAGGAAGAAGUAACAGAUUCACAGGCUAAGAAGAAAUAUCCUAGAAAACCACAUUACCGUCAUGCUGAUAGAUUUAUUUUAAAAGCUGCCCAGGCACGACUAGACGAAUUCAUAAAAGUUAAAAUGCUAAAAGAUCUACUGUUUGGACCUGCUUUCCCUCAUCAUAUCACACGCCAGAUUAACGGCUUACUGUAUAACCUCCCCGUUCCAGUUCGCUUUAUAAAUCAUUCCACUAGAAAUCAGAUGUACACCAUUGUAACGCAAAGUAUGUCACCGAUCAAAAUUGUCGCAUUUCUCAAAGCCAACGGUGGACAGUCUGGUCGCUUUCGUUUAGUCGACAAAUCAGAACUUCCGACACAUAAGGACAUUUUACCAGAACUUAAAAGUAGGGAAAUUUUAACUAAGAUCAAAUCCAAAUUUUAGUAGAAAUUUCAAUUUUGAUUGGCUAAGCACUAAAACCAAUCAAAUUGUUGGCUUUUUUUUGCUAAUAAAUAUAAGUGCUAGUCUAA
Long non-coding RNA from Patella vulgata (common limpet), 2264 nucleotides. RefSeq lists it as uncharacterized. Lineage: Eukaryota; Metazoa; Mollusca; Gastropoda; Patellidae. The record is from RefSeq and is a predicted model, not a curated record. The transcript is spliced from 5 exons.